RNAcentral lists this ribosomal RNA (498 nucleotides) under uncultured bacterium. RNAcentral's name for it is "partial 16S ribosomal RNA". It matches the Rfam family "Bacterial small subunit ribosomal RNA", at positions 30 to 523 of the family's 1533-position model. The record is from RNAcentral.
AUUGAACGCUGGCGGCAUGCCUUACACAUGCAAGUCGAACGGUAACAGGUCUUCGGAUGCUGACGAGUGGCGAACGGGUGAGUAAUACAUCGGAACGUGCCUAGUAGUAGGGGAUAACUACUCGAAAGAGUGGCUAAGACCGCAUGAGAUCUACGGAUGAAAGCAGGGGAUCGCAAGACCUUGUGCUACUAGAGCGGCCGAUGGCAGAUUAGGUAGUUGGUGGGAUAAAAGCUUACCAAGCCGACGAGCGGUAGCUGGUCUGAGAGGACGAUCGGCCAAACGGGGACUGAGACACGGCCCAGACUGCUACGGGAGGCAGCCGUGGGGAAUUUUUGACCAUGGGCGCAAGCCUGAUCCAGCAAUGCAGCGUGCAGGAUGAAGGCCUUCGGGUUGUAAACUGCUUUUGUACGGAACGAAAAGCCCUGGUGUAAUACCCUGGGGUCAAGACGGUACCGUAAGAAUAAGCACCGGCUAACUACGUGCCAGCCGCCGCAGUAA